Molecule: ribosomal RNA, 136 nt
Filed under: Acanthocybium solandri (wahoo)
Lineage: Eukaryota; Metazoa; Chordata; Actinopteri; Scombriformes; Scombridae
Description: partial 16S ribosomal RNA
Source: RNAcentral
AAAACAACAACCCAAUAUUAAUAACCCCAAACACACUACCUCCCUAUCAAACAAACCAUUUUACCCCCUUAGUAUGGGCGACAGAAAAGGAACCAUUGGAGCGAUAGAGAAAGUACCGCAAGGGAAAGCUGAAAGA